Molecule: ribosomal RNA, 487 nt
Filed under: uncultured bacterium
Lineage: Bacteria
Description: bacterial SSU rRNA
Rfam family: Bacterial small subunit ribosomal RNA
Source: RNAcentral
GAUGAACGCUAGCGGCGUGCCUAACACAUGCAAGUCGAACGUGAGAGGGUACUUGUAUCCUUGAAAGUGGCGGACGGGUGAGUAAGACGUAGGUGACCUGCCUUGAAGUGGGGGAUAACCAUUGGAAACGAUGGCUAAUACCGCAUAAGCUGGUGACGAUGGGAAUCGUUAUCAGGAAAGCUUUAGUGCUUUGAGAGGGGCCUACGGCCGAUUAGCUAGUUGGUGAGGUAAAGGCUCACCAAGGCGAUGAUCGGUAGCUGGUCUGAGAGGACGAUCAGCCACACGGGAACUGAGACACGGUCCCGACUCCUACGGGGGGCAGCAGUGAGGAAUAUUCGGCAAUGGGGGCAACCCUGACCGAGCAACGCCGCGUGGAGGAUGACGGUUUUCGGAUUGUAAACUCCUUUUGUGGGGAAAAGAAUGGAUGGUACCCCAAGAAUAAGUCACGGCUAACUACGUGCCAGCAGCCGCGGUAAGGCGUAUGUGU